RNAcentral lists this ribosomal RNA (425 nucleotides) under uncultured bacterium. RNAcentral's name for it is "partial 16S ribosomal RNA". It matches the Rfam family "Bacterial small subunit ribosomal RNA", at positions 354 to 796 of the family's 1533-position model. The record is from RNAcentral.
GUGGGGAAUAUUGGGCAAUGGGCGAAAGCCUGACCCAGCAACGCCGCGUGAAGGAAGAAGGUUUUCGGAUCGUAAACUUCUAUCCUUGGUGAAGAUAAUGACGGUAGCCAAGAAGGAAGCCCCGGCUAACUACGUGCCAGCAGCCGCGGUAAUACGUAGGGGGCAAGCGUUGUCCGGAAUGAUUGGGCGUAAAGGGCGCGUAGGCGGCCCGGUAAGUCUGAAGUGAAAGUCCUGCUUUUAAGGUGGGAAUUGCUUUGGAUACUGUCGGGCUUGAGUGCAGGAGAGGUAAGCGGAAUUCCCGGUGUAGCGGUGAAAUGCGUAGAGAUCGGGAGGAACACCAGUGGCGAAGGCGGCUCACUGGUCUGGUACUGACGCUGAGGUGCGAAAGCGUGGGGAGCAAACAGGAUUAGAAACCCCUGUAGUCC